Molecule: long non-coding RNA, 950 nt
Organism: Beta vulgaris subsp. vulgaris (sugar beet)
Lineage: Eukaryota; Viridiplantae; Streptophyta; Magnoliopsida; Caryophyllales; Amaranthaceae
Exons: 2
Source: RefSeq, a predicted model, not a curated record
AAUUGAAAAUGACAAUAUUGUUGCGGUUUCCCGCCAAAAACCGCAGCAAUAUUAUUCAACGGACAAAUUUUGAAAAAUAUGUGGGCCCAUAGUAGCAAAUAUUGCUGCGGUUUCCACGUAGAAACCGCAGCAAUAUAUUAAAAAUUAAUUUAAAAAAAAUAACAUUUUAAUAUAUUGCUGCGGUUUAUAAUAAAAAAACCGCAGCAAUAUCCCAUUUAUUUCAUAUAAUAGGCGCUAGGGUUUGGGGACACUCGCAUUUCAGUCUUUUCCUCCUUUCUCUCUCCUUCCCUCUCAGCCGUCGUUCUUCUUCAUCUCGUUCUCUCUCCUCGAAAUUUCAGCCGUCCUUCUUCUUCAUCUCGUCCUUCUUGCCUUCACCCUUCUCAGCCCGUCGGCCUUUCUAUUCUUCGUCGGCCGUUCACUGAAGAAUCUGACCAUUCAAUUCGCCGCAACGAAGGAGAGAGAGAGGAGUUCGAGAGUUUCAUUGAGGGUUUUGUUCAUUUUUUAUACAGAAGUUUUUGGACUUUCGGGGCUUUCUUGGUGCGUUUGUCGGUGAAGCUUUUGACAUUCCGACCGCCUGCUGCCACAUCCGUGAACACAGUCGAAUCUGCCUUCGUCGAGUUUCAUCAACACCGAACUCCUUCAUCUGCCUUCGUCGCCUCGUCGGCCGUUAGUAUCAUCGGCCUCCGUCGACGGUUCCUUGGUGUUUAGUUUUUUUUUCUGUUUUCUUCCUUUAUAUUUAAACUUAUGUAUUUUUCAUUUUCUUUAUUUUUAUUUUAAUUAAGAUCGAAACUUCUGUAUUUAUUUUUGUUGUCUUUAUUUUUUAUUCUAAUUUUGGAUUUAGAUGUAAAUUUCUGUAAUUUUUAUUUUCUUUAUUGUUUUUGUUUUUGAUUUAGAUAUGAUGUUUAGGAUCGUCUUCCAUUGAUAUUUUAUGAAUUUGAAUGUUGUUGUUA